GUGCCACAUUCCUUGUCCAACUGAAUGUGAAGUUUCACCUUGGUCAGCUUGGGGACCUUGUACUUAUGAAAACUGUAAUGAUCAGCAAGGGAAAAAAGGCUUCAAACUGAGGAAGCGGCGCAUUACCAAUGAGCCCACUGGAGGCUCUGGGGUAACCGGAAACUGCCCUCACUUACUGGAAGCCAUUCCCUGUGAAGAGCCUGCCUGUUAUGACUGGAAAGCAGUGAGACUGGGAGACUGCGAGCCAGAUAACGGAAAGGAGUGUGGUCCAGGCACGCAAGUUCAAGAGGUUGUGUGCAUCAACAGUGAUGCCAUUACUUGUCGCAAGCAAGAUGGAGGACAGGCUGGAAUCCAUGAGUGCCUACAGUAUGCAGGCCCUGUGCCAGCCCUUACCCAGGCCUGCCAGAUCCCCUGCCAGGAUGACUGUCAAUUGACCAGCUGGUCCAAGUUUUCUUCAUGCAAUGGAGACUGUGGUGCAGUUAGGACCAGAAAGCGCACUCUUGUUGGAAAAAGUAAAAAGAAGGAAAAA
This 529-nucleotide small RNA is filed under the name Pan troglodytes (chimpanzee). Its description in RNAcentral is "processed transcript". Lineage: Eukaryota; Metazoa; Chordata; Mammalia; Primates; Hominidae. The record is from RNAcentral.